GGUGGCUCAGUGGUAGAGUGCUUGCCUUGGAUGUAUGAGGCCCUGGGUUUGAUUCCUCAGCACCA
This 65-nucleotide transfer RNA is filed under the name Dipodomys ordii (Ord's kangaroo rat). It matches the Rfam family "tRNA". From Rfam's summary of the family: Transfer RNA (tRNA) molecules are approximately 80 nucleotides in length. Their secondary structure includes four short double-helical elements and three loops (D, anti-codon, and T loops). Lineage: Eukaryota; Metazoa; Chordata; Mammalia; Rodentia; Heteromyidae. The record is from Rfam by way of RNAcentral.